Molecule: ribosomal RNA, 235 nt
Filed under: uncultured bacterium
Lineage: Bacteria
Description: partial 16S ribosomal RNA
Rfam family: Bacterial small subunit ribosomal RNA
Source: RNAcentral
UGAGUAACCUGCCCUUAACUCUGGGAUAAGCCUGGGAAACUGGGUCUAAUACCGGAUAUGACUCCUCAUCGCAUGGGUGGGGGGUGGAAAGCUUUUUGUGGUUUUGGAUGGACUCGCGGCCUAUCAGCUUGUUGGUGAGGUAAUGGCUCACCAAGGCGACGACGGGUAGCUGGUCUGAGAGGAUGGCCAGCCACAGUUGGGACUGUGACACCGGCCCAGACCUCCGUACGGGAGG